UACGAAGGGGGCUAGCGUUGUUCGGAAUUACUGGGCGUAAAGGGCGCGUAGGCGGCUUAUCAAGUCAGGCGUGAAAGCCCCGGGCUUAACCUGGGAACUGCGCUUGAGACUGUUAGGCUUGAGUACCGGAGAGGUAGGUGGAAUUCCCAGUGUAGAGGUGAAAUUCGUAGAUAUUGGGAAGAACACCAGUGGCGAAGGCGGCCUACUGGACGGUAACUGACGCUGAGGCGCGAAAGCGUGGGGAGCAAACAGG
RNAcentral lists this ribosomal RNA (253 nucleotides) under uncultured bacterium. RNAcentral's name for it is "partial 16S ribosomal RNA". It matches the Rfam family "Bacterial small subunit ribosomal RNA", at positions 524 to 776 of the family's 1533-position model. The record is from RNAcentral.